This 433-nucleotide ribosomal RNA is filed under the name uncultured bacterium. RNAcentral's name for it is "bacterial SSU rRNA". It matches the Rfam family "Bacterial small subunit ribosomal RNA", at positions 28 to 497 of the family's 1533-position model. The record is from RNAcentral.
GAUAAACGCUGGCGGCGUGCCUAACACAUGCAAGUCGAACGAUCCCGCAAGGGAGAGUGGCGGAAGGGUGAGUAACACGUGGGAAUCUACCUCCUCGCAGGGAACAACCUCUCGAAAGAGAGGCUAAUACCCAAAAGGGUCAGAAAUGAUCAGAGUCGAAAGGCGUGAGGAGAGGAGCCCGCGGCCCAUCAGCUAGUUGGUGAGGUAAUGGCUUACCAAGGCUACGACGGGUAGGGGAUCUGAGAGGAUGUCCCCCACACUGGAACUGAAACACGGUCCAGGCGCCUACGGGGUGGCAGCAGUGAGGAAUAUUGGACAAUGGGCGAAAGCCCGAUCCAGCAACGCCGCGUGGAGGAUGAAGGCCUUCGGGGUCGUAAACUUCUUUAGUAGGGAGACGAGAAAAGGACCGGGUAUCCCUAGAAUAAGCGACGGC